GAUGAACGCUAGCUACAGGCUUAACACAUGCAAGUCGAGGGGAAACGACAUCGAAAGCUUGCUUUUGAUGGGCGUCGACCGGCGCACGGGUGAGUAACGCGUAUCCAACCUGCCCACCACUUGGGGAUAACCUUGCGAAAGUAAGACUAAUACCCAAUGAUAUCUCUAGAAGGCAUCUGAAAGAGAUUAAAGAUUUAUCGGUGAUGGAUGGGGAUGCGUCUGAUUAGCUUGUUGGCGGGGUAACGGCCCACCAAGGCUACGAUCAGUAGGGGUUCUGAGAGGAAGGUCCCCCACACUGGAACUGAGACACGGUCCAAACUCCUACGGGAGGCAGCAGUGAGGAAUAUUGGUCAAUGGGCGAGAGCCUGAACCAGCCAAGUAGCGUGCAGGAUGACGGCCCUAUGGGUUGUAAACUGCUUUUAUAAGGGAAUAAAGUGAGUCUCGUGAGACUUUUUGCAUGUACCUUAUGAAUAAGGACCGGCUAAUUCCGUGCCAGCCGCCGCCGUAA
This 508-nucleotide ribosomal RNA is filed under the name uncultured bacterium. RNAcentral's name for it is "partial 16S ribosomal RNA". It matches the Rfam family "Bacterial small subunit ribosomal RNA", at positions 28 to 523 of the family's 1533-position model. The record is from RNAcentral.